UUUAGGAAUACCAGGCAUAAACGAAAAGAGAGGCUGGAUCCAAACUGCAUCCUGAUCGGGCCUGAAGAGGUACCCAGCGAUAGCCUGAAGUCCGAUCCGAUCCCGUGGAUCUCAACUCUGACGAAGGGGUCCAGAUUCUUCCCCAUUUUUGGAAGUGGUAAAUUGGACCCACAUAUAACCUGUUGGCAGGCCCAUGAUCGUCUCUUUGACCCACCGAGCUGCGAUCCAACGUUCCAGAACUCUUGAGGGUUGUAAUUGGACGAGGAUGUCCUGGAGCCCGCUGGAUAAAUCCUGGUCAAGAAUCUCUGGUUGUGCAGAACAAAAUCUUUACCUGAAGAUGAAGCACGAGCCAUUCAAUAAGGACUUCUGACUGUCUUUGGAGUGACUGAAGCUGGUGAACUUGACAGACACAGUGUAUAUGACGAGGUCGGACAGACCGUCCGCUACCACCACCUUCUUCUUCUGCUCAUCGCGUUCAGAUGCACAGAAACAAGAGAGCAGUCACGUCUUUGCAAUAAGAUGGCAGACAUAUGAGUUUGUCUUCACGACGCCUUAGCUUUUUUAAUAUCAGCUACCACAGCCCUGACUCACUUUCUUUUUUAAGCUUGACUUUCUCAGGGACCAGAACCUUGAUAUGCUCGGUUGAUCCACCUCAUCCUCUUCUUCUUCCUCCUCUUCUUCCUCCUCCUCCUCCUCCUCCUCCCAGCCCUCAUCUGCACUGUCAUCUGCCUCUGUCCCUGAUGCUCCAUCUAUUCUAGCAUUGGGCUUUAGUUUUUUAUUCUUGAUCAGGAUCUUAUACUUUAGGUCCUGCGUGACCAUUUAUACACACACAUACACACAUACAAUGUAUGUGGGACAUUGUCACUUUACAAACACUCACACAGACACACACACAGACACAAACAUAUAUAAUAUAUAUAAAUAUAUAUGAGGGGUGUAUAAAAAAA
This is a long non-coding RNA of Syngnathus acus (greater pipefish), 947 nucleotides long. RefSeq lists it as uncharacterized. Lineage: Eukaryota; Metazoa; Chordata; Actinopteri; Syngnathiformes; Syngnathidae. The transcript has 4 exons. The record is from RefSeq and is a predicted model, not a curated record.